ACGUAGGGUGCGAGCGUUAAUCGGAAUUACUGGGCGUAAAGCGCACGCAGGCGGUCGACCGCGUCGGAGGUGACAGUCCUCGGCUUACCUGAGGAAGUGCUGCCGAAACGGGUCGACUUGAGGGCCAGAGAGGGAGACGGAACUCCGGGUGGAGCGGUGAAAUGCGUAGAGAUCCGGAAGAACACCAAAGGCGUAGGCAGUCUCCUGGCUGGUUCCUGACGCUCAGGUGCGAAAGCGAGGGGAGCAAACAGGA
RNAcentral lists this ribosomal RNA (253 nucleotides) under uncultured prokaryote. Its description in RNAcentral is "partial 16S ribosomal RNA". It matches the Rfam family "Bacterial small subunit ribosomal RNA", at positions 525 to 777 of the family's 1533-position model. The record is from RNAcentral.